RNAcentral lists this ribosomal RNA (658 nucleotides) under Sarcogyne regularis. RNAcentral describes it as "SSU rRNA". It matches the Rfam family "Bacterial small subunit ribosomal RNA", at positions 399 to 1122 of the family's 1533-position model. The record is from RNAcentral. Lineage: Eukaryota; Fungi; Ascomycota; Lecanoromycetes; Acarosporales; Acarosporaceae.
GCUAGUUGUAUUAACUAUUAGUUAAUACAAGAUCGACUAUGUCGACUAAAGUUCUAGGUAGAAUAAUGAUGAUGACAAUUUUCUACCUAUAUGUCUUGACCAAAUCUCGUGCCAGCAGUCGCGGUAAUACGUGAAAGACUAGUGUUAUUCAUCUUUAAUAGGUUUAAAGGGUACCUAGACGGUUUAUCUAGCCCAAAACAGGGUACGGAUUUUCUAGAGUUUUAUGUGAGGAGGGGAGUACUCAUAGAGUAAAGAUGAAAUUUUGUGAUACUAUGGGGAAACUGGUGGUGGCGAAAGCAACCUUCUAUGUAUAAACUGACGUUGAGGGACGAAGGCUUGGGUAGCAAAUAGGAUUAGAUACCCUAGUAGUCCAAGCAGACAAUUCUGAAUGCCAUAGAUUAGAUUUUUUUUUGGUCUAUAAAUGAAAGUGUAAGCAUUCCACCUUAGGAGUAAUGUGGCAACACAGGAACUGAAAUCAUUAGACCGUUUCUGAAACCAGUAGUGAAGUAUGUUAUUUAAUUUGUUAGUCCUCAAAAAACCUUACCACAACUUGAAUAUUAUUUAAUUAAUACAAGCGUUGCACGGCUGUCUUCAGUUAAUGUCGUGAGAUUUUGGUUAACUCCCUCAAUUAACGUAAACCCUUACUUUAUUUUUUUUU